RNAcentral lists this ribosomal RNA (427 nucleotides) under uncultured prokaryote. RNAcentral describes it as "bacterial SSU rRNA". It matches the Rfam family "Bacterial small subunit ribosomal RNA", at positions 355 to 774 of the family's 1533-position model. The record is from RNAcentral.
UGGGGAAUUUUGGACAAUGGGCGAAAGCCUGAUCCAGCAAUGCCGCGUGUGUGAAGAAGGCCUUCGGGUUGUAAAGCACUUUUGUCCGGAAAGAAAUCCGUCUGGCUAAUACCCGGACGGGAUGACGGUACCGGAAGAAUAAGCACCGGCUAACUACGUGCCAGCAGCCGCGGUAAUACGUAGGGUGCGAGCGUUAAUCGGAAUUACUGGGCGUAAAGCGGGCGCAGGCGGUUAUGCAAGACAGGUGUGAAAUCCCCGGGCUCAACCUGGGAACUGCACUUGUGACUGCAUGACGAGAGUGCGUCAGAGGGAGGUGGAAUUCCGCGUGUAGCAGUGAAAUGCGUAGAGAUGCGGAGGAACACCGAUGGCGAAGGCAGCCUCCUGGGAUGACACUGACGCUCAUGCACGAAAGCGUGGGGAGCAAACA